GUCGAGCGUGGCUGCAUUCUCUCGCAAGAGAGGAUGUAGUCUAGCGGCGAACGGGUGAGUAACACGUGGGAAACUUGCCCUCCAGACGGGGACAACCUCGGGAAACCGGGGCUAAUACCGGAUUCGCCCACUGGGUCGCAUGGCCCGGUGAGGAAAGGAUCGCAAGAUCGCUGGAGGAGAGUCCCGCGGCCUAUCAGCUUGUUGGCGGGGUAACGGCCCACCAAGGCUAUGACGGGUAGCUGGCCUGAGAGGGCGGUCAGCCACACUGGAACUGAGAGACGGUCCAGACUCCUACGGGAGGCAGCAGUUGGGAAUUUUGGGCAAUGGGCGAAAGCCUGACCCAGCGACGCCGCGUGGGGGAUGAAGGCCUUCGGGUUGUAAACCCCUGUCAGGAGGGAAGAAGCCGAAAGGUGACGGUACCUCCAGAGGAAGCCCCGGCUAACUACGUGCCAGCAGCCGCGGUAAGACGUAGGGGGCGAGCGUUGUCCGGAAUCACUGGGCGUAAAGCGCGUGCAGGCGGCUUGGUAAGUCCCGUGUGAAAGCCCACGGCUCAACUGUGGGAGGCCGCGGGAUACUGCCGGGCUUGAGGGCAGGAGAGGGAAGUAGAAUUCCCGGUGUAGCGGUGAAAUGCGUAGAUAUCGGGAGGAAUGCCAGUGGCGA
RNAcentral lists this ribosomal RNA (660 nucleotides) under uncultured soil bacterium. Its description in RNAcentral is "bacterial SSU rRNA". It matches the Rfam family "Bacterial small subunit ribosomal RNA", at positions 61 to 718 of the family's 1533-position model. The record is from RNAcentral.